RNAcentral lists this ribosomal RNA (410 nucleotides) under uncultured bacterium. RNAcentral describes it as "bacterial SSU rRNA". It matches the Rfam family "Bacterial small subunit ribosomal RNA", at positions 29 to 466 of the family's 1533-position model. The record is from RNAcentral.
AACGAACGCUGGCGGCAUGCCUAACACAUGCAAGUCGAACGAAGCCUUCGGGCUUAGUGGCGCACGGGUGCGUAACACGUGGGAAUCUGCCCUUCGGUUCGGAAUAACAGUUAGAAAUGACUGCUAAUACCGGAUGAUGACGUAAGUCCAAAGAUUUAUCGCCGAAGGAUGAGCCCGCGUAGGAUUAGGUAGUUGGUAGGGUAAUGGCCUACCAAGCCGACGAUCCUUAGCUGGUCUGAGAGGAUGAUCAGCCACACUGGGACUGAGACACGGCCCAGACUCCUACGGGAGGCAGCAGUGGGAAUAUUGGACAAUGGGCGAAAGACCUGAUCCAGCAAUGCCGCGUGAGUGAUGAAGGCCUUAGGGUUAUAAAGACUCUUUACCUAGGGACGAGUAAUAGACAGUAACCU